GGCCAAACAUGUCAGGAGGAUUGCACAGCCGUUUACAACAGCUAACCUGGAACUGGCGCUGAGAAGGGGAAUCCAACUGUUUAAUUGAAACAUAGCAUUGAGAGAUGGCAUGUUGAGGUCGUCGUAGACUCAAGGUGCGUCCUGCCCAGUGCUCUGAAUGUCAUUGCAAAGAGAUUUUUCCAAGCUCGGGUAAACGGCGGGAGUAACUAUGACUCUCUUAAGGUAGCCAAAUGCCUCGUCUUCUAAUUAAAGACGCGCAUGAAUGGAUUAAUGAGAUUCCCACUGUCCCUGGUUACUAUCCAGCGAACCCACAGUCAAGGGAACGGGCUUGAAGUCUUCAGCGGGGAAAGAAGACCCUGUUGAGUUUGACUCUAAUCUGGACUUGUGCAGCGACACCUUCGUUGUAGUAUAGGUGGGAGGUUUACCAACAGUGAAAUACCACUACUUAGGUAGUUGCUUUGCUCAUCGCAUGAGAAUGGAACGGCAGUCGCCGGCUCCUUCGGGGUCGGUUAGAGGCGUGCCUUCGGGCGCGUCUCGGUGCUUAACCGUUUAUUAUUGUAAAUCCUUCGGGAUGACCAAUAGCUGUGAGACAUUUGCCAGAUGGGGAGUUUGGCUGGGGCGGCAUAUCUGUUAAACAUUAACGCAGGUGUCCUAAGGCACACUCCGUGAGAACAGAAAUCUUACGUGGCGCAUAAGGGCAAAAGUGUGCUUGAUCUCUCGAUCUUCAGUACUGAUCCAGACUGUGAAAGCAAGGCCUAACGAUCCUUUGUACCCAUUUAUGUUCAGAGUACGAAGUCAGAGGUGACAGAAAAAUUACCACAGGGAUAACUGGCUUGUGGCUGCCAAGAGCUCAUAUCGACGCUGCUUUUUGAUCCUUCGAUGUCGGCUCUUCCUAUCCUUACCCCGCAGCAGAGGUAAAGGGUUGGAUUGUUCACCCAUCAAAAGGGAACGUGAGCUGGGUUUAGACCGUCGUGAGACAGGUUGGUUUUACCCUACUGAAGAAAUUGGGAUGUGUUGAAGGCAAUCUGGGGUAGUACGAAAGGAACACCCAUUUCGCGCUUCUGGUUUAUGCACCUAGUUGAAAAGCUAUGGUGCGAAGCUACGCGCGAUGAAGUACGGCUGAAGGCCUCUUAAGCCGGAACUCCGUCCAGUGACACAUCCACCCUUUACCGGGGUGCGGUGCAUUGUGAGACUCUGGGACGUGCUCAUCAGCAUGUCAGCGGAUUAGUCGACCGACACGUCCAAACAGCGACCGUCGGUCUCUGGUCCAAGAAACACCCAACGUUUCUGUACCGUUGU
This 1299-nucleotide ribosomal RNA is filed under the name metagenome. Its description in RNAcentral is "eukaryotic LSU rRNA". It matches the Rfam family "Eukaryotic large subunit ribosomal RNA", at positions 2060 to 3401 of the family's 3401-position model. The record is from RNAcentral.